UUGUUUCCGUGUGUUAGAAAGCAAAGUGAGAGCUCUGGAAGGAUCAUGUUUUCAGCAUGUGGAGAAGACCAUGCUGGAACUGGCUGCCCCCUGAGGCCCAUAGAAGACCAUGAUGGAGUGGAUACCCACAAUGCAACCUGUGGAGGAGCCUUGAAGGAAGCUAUAGCUUGUGGAGAGGCCACACAGGAGUGUGUGCCUGGUGGGAGCUGUGGCUGUGUGGAGAGGAACCCAUGUAGGAGCAGACUUUCUCAUGAGAACUGUGGCCUGUGGGGGACCCAUGCCCGGGCAGUCUAUUUCUGAAGAACUGCACCCAUGGAAAGGACUCACGCUAGAGCAGUUUUUGAACUGUGGCUUAUGGUAGGGCUUCCACACUGGAGCAGGGCAUGAGUGUGAGGAAGGAGCCAGACACGGAGCAUUAUGAACUGACAACACCCACCCAUUCCCCAUCCACCUGCACCACUUGGGGCUGGAGAGGAGGUAGAAGAAUCAAGAGUGAAGUUGGGCCUGGUAAGAAGGGAAUCAAAGCUUCUGCUAUAGAUCUUCUGUAUCAAGAUGUCAGUGAACUGAAAGGACAGAAGGUAAAAGCGCAAUGACAGGGGUAAAGUAACAUUUUUUUUAGAGGAAAAACCCACAACCCUGGCUCAGAAUACUUAGUGGACUGUGUCAUUUUACUUUCAGUAUGUGUUUUCAUUCUGUCUUCCAUAUUAAUAGUUCUAAGAAUAGUCUCUCAGAGCACCUGAAACUGUUAAUUUUCAUUACUGUUUCUAAAAGAACAGAUGAGCAAAAUGUUUUCCUGUUUGCUGCAAAUAAGAAGAAACAUUUCACUACCCAUCUUUGGUCAAGCUGGGAUCUGGUCCCACUCUUCUAUGUGAAGAGUCACAAGAGGGA
Molecule: long non-coding RNA, 888 nt
Organism: Oxyura jamaicensis (ruddy duck)
Lineage: Eukaryota; Metazoa; Chordata; Aves; Anseriformes; Anatidae
Exons: 3
Source: RefSeq, a predicted model, not a curated record